This 503-nucleotide ribosomal RNA is filed under the name uncultured bacterium. Its description in RNAcentral is "partial 16S ribosomal RNA". It matches the Rfam family "Bacterial small subunit ribosomal RNA", at positions 30 to 523 of the family's 1533-position model. The record is from RNAcentral.
AUUGAACGCUGGCGGCAGGCUUAACACAUGCAAGUCGAGCGGGGUGAUGGUGCUUGCACUAUCACUUAGCGGCGGACGGUUGAGUAAUGCUUAGGAAUCUGCCUAUUAGUGGGGGACAACAUCUCGAAAGGGAUGCUAAUACCGCAUACGUCCUACGGGAGAAAGCAGGGGAUCACUUGUGACCUUGCGCUAAUAGAUGAGCCUAAGUCGGAUUAGCUAGUUGGUGGGGUAAAGGCCUACCAAGGCGACGAUCUGUAGCGGGUCUGAGAGGAUGAUCCGCCACACUGGGACUGAGACACGGCCCAGACUCCUACGGGAGGCAGCAGUGGGGAAUAUUGGACAAUGGGGGGAACCCUGAUCCAGCCAUGCCGCGUGUGUGAAGAAGGCCUUAUGGUUGUACAGCACUUUAAGCGAGGAGGAGGCUCUUUUGGUUAAUACCCAAGAUGAGUGGACGUUACUCGCAGAAUAAGCACCGGCUAACUCUGUGCCAGCCGCCGCGGUAA